RNAcentral lists this transfer RNA (77 nucleotides) under Pseudomonadota bacterium. RNAcentral's name for it is "tRNA-Glu". It matches the Rfam family "tRNA". From Rfam's summary of the family: Transfer RNA (tRNA) molecules are approximately 80 nucleotides in length. Their secondary structure includes four short double-helical elements and three loops (D, anti-codon, and T loops). Further hydrogen bonds mediate the characteristic L-shaped molecular structure. tRNAs have two regions of fundamental functional importance: the anti-codon, which is responsible for specific mRNA codon recognition, and the 3' end, to which the tRNAs corresponding amino acid is attached (by aminoacyl-tRNA synthetases). tRNAs cope with the degeneracy of the genetic code in two manners: having more than one tRNA (with a specific anti-codon) for a particular amino acid; and 'wobble' base-pairing, i.e. permitting non-standard base-pairing at the 3rd anti-codon position. The record is from RNAcentral. Lineage: Bacteria; Pseudomonadati; Pseudomonadota. RNAcentral also lists the same sequence under 1 other name.
GGCGCGUUCGUCUAGUGGCCCAGGAUACCGCCCUCUCAAGGCGGAGAGCGCGGGUUCGAAUCCCGCACGCGCCACCA